AGACAGCAGUAGCCGCGGUAAUACAGAGGGUGCGAGCGUUAAUCGGAUUUACUGGGCGUAAAGCGUGCGUAGGCGGCUAAUUGAGUCGGAUGUGAAAUCCCCGAGCUUAACUUGGGAAUUGCAUUCGAUACUGGUUAGCUAGAGUGUGGGAGAGGAUGGUAGAAUUCCAGGUGUAGCGGUGAAAUGCGUAGAGAUCUGGAGGAAUACCGAUGGCGAAGGCAGCCAUCUGGCCUAACACUGACGCUGAGGUACGAAAGCAUGGGGAGCAAACAGGAUUAGAGACCCGCGUAGUCCCUGUCUCUUAUAA
This 307-nucleotide ribosomal RNA is filed under the name uncultured bacterium. RNAcentral's name for it is "partial 16S ribosomal RNA". It matches the Rfam family "Bacterial small subunit ribosomal RNA", at positions 506 to 809 of the family's 1533-position model. The record is from RNAcentral.